GCCCGCGUAGCUCAGGGGAUAGAGCAGGGCUUUCCUAAAGCUCAGGCCGCAGGUUCGAAUCCUGCCGCGGGUA
RNAcentral lists this transfer RNA (73 nucleotides) under Planctomycetota bacterium. Its description in RNAcentral is "Planctomycetes bacterium (groundwater metagenome) tRNA-Arg". It matches the Rfam family "tRNA". From Rfam's summary of the family: Transfer RNA (tRNA) molecules are approximately 80 nucleotides in length. Their secondary structure includes four short double-helical elements and three loops (D, anti-codon, and T loops). Further hydrogen bonds mediate the characteristic L-shaped molecular structure. tRNAs have two regions of fundamental functional importance: the anti-codon, which is responsible for specific mRNA codon recognition, and the 3' end, to which the tRNAs corresponding amino acid is attached (by aminoacyl-tRNA synthetases). tRNAs cope with the degeneracy of the genetic code in two manners: having more than one tRNA (with a specific anti-codon) for a particular amino acid; and 'wobble' base-pairing, i.e. permitting non-standard base-pairing at the 3rd anti-codon position. The record is from RNAcentral. Lineage: Bacteria; Pseudomonadati; Planctomycetota.